AUAUUGUUAAACUUAUUCUAUUUUAUUAUUAGUUAUUAAUUAUUAAUUAUUAUUAUUAGUUAUUUAUUAAUAGUUAUUGUUGCUAAUCUCUUAGUAUGCUUAACUUAUGAAUUAAACUUUAUCAUAGGUAUGUAUGUACAGAAAAUAACCCAUGGAGGGAAUAGGGUUCAGUAUUGUCCCUGAUUUCAGGCAUGUGCUGGGAAUCCCGGAAUCUUGGAACAUAUCCCCUGUGGAUAAGGGAGGACUACUGCAUUAGGACUGUUUGAGUUGCAAGCCAACUUUAUGAGCUGAAUAUUUUUCUGAAACACUGGCAGCGUGAUUUCUCCCAACCAUGUGUCUCCAUCCCAAACUGAAAAGACCAUCUUCCUGAGGCAGCUAUUCAAAACUGCGGCCAGCUUGACUGCUUUUCUUGAAUUGAUGAGUUACAAACAGAUUGAUCAGAAAGCGAUACCUGUUUGAGCUGACUGAUUAUUAACCAAGAGUCAAAUUAUGUGCCUAGACAAAGUGUGAGUUAUGGGAAGAACCCAGGCUCUCUCUCUCUCCUUUAGGUCAUAGUAAAGGGAACCAUUGACUUCACUGUAGUUUUGGAUUAUGCAGGGAAUGGUCAGGGUUGUUUUGGAAUCCCAAAGAUCUACUUUCAAACUUUGGUCCUACUGAGGUAGCUGUGUGAGUUUGGCAGCUGCCAAAGGUCAUCUGACAUAAUAGCUGAUGAAUUCAAGCCCAGUGGAUUUCAUUUGCAAUUUUCAAUUUACUGAGGCCUCCAAACCCCACGGUGAUAAAAGCUUCCCCUAUCGUGGCCUGUCACAAACAUCAAGAAACUGCACAAACCCACAAGAAAGAAAAAAGAGAAAGCUGUGCAUCCUCGCAGGUACAGAUAAGGAGAACAGGAAGAAAUGGUAUCAUGCGGGAAGGUACGGAGCAGCUUGUGUGGCUGGUUCUCUAAAUGCCAAUUGAAAGGAAAAGACUAUGAAGAACAAUCAAAUAACUUCCACAGAAUAACAUCAUGUUUCUUUGGGGCUUUUGUGUGAAAAUUGCCUUCUAAUCUCUUACUUGACAAGUCCCCAAACAAAACUGUAAGCGUAAAUAUGCAAACAAAUAAAUGAAUAAAUAAUCCUUU
Neofelis nebulosa (Clouded leopard) is the source of this 1117-nucleotide long non-coding RNA. RefSeq lists it as uncharacterized. The transcript has 3 exons. The record is from RefSeq and is a predicted model, not a curated record. NCBI's taxonomy places the organism in Eukaryota, Metazoa, Chordata, Mammalia, Carnivora, Felidae.